Molecule: non-coding RNA, 863 nt
Organism: Schizosaccharomyces pombe (fission yeast)
Lineage: Eukaryota; Fungi; Ascomycota; Schizosaccharomycetes; Schizosaccharomycetales; Schizosaccharomycetaceae
Source: the annotation of a GenBank genome assembly
UCACUAUUUUUACUCAUGCAAUUUCCACUCUCAAUUUUUGCGAAAAUGCAAGACCUUUACAAACAAAAAAAUCCUUUGCCAUAAAAUGUACGAGCUAUUCUCAUUCACUCCAUGGAAAUUAAGUUAGCUUACAAUUUUCAUUUCCGGUUCGUAUUUCCGAGCAAGUCUGCAGAUUUUAUUUCAUUUUCAAAUUAACUGUGCAAAACGUGAAGGCAAAUUCGUAUUUCAUAAAAUGCUUCAGUUCGCAUGCUUUUAUUAAAUUUAAAGAUCAUUAAUUUCAAAAAAUUUCUAUAUAUUUUAUUGUUUACUAUCCCAUAACGUUAAAUAGUUUACACAAAAACGUCGAAACUUUUCACAUAAACGUAUGCUUCUUUGUUUCAAUUGUUCAUGAAAACAUAAUGUAUUUAUUUACUUCUUUAAUUACAAUUGAGAGGGGAAUCGAGACAGAGAAAACAAUAGUUUCUGAAAGAAAUAAACUAAUUAAAAAUUUGACCGAUUGGUUUUACUAAAUUUUUUUAACUGCAUGGAUAUUUUACCAAAGAUUCAAAGAUAUAUUUAUUGGUUUUGUUAUUUUUUUGAGAAUUUUAUGAAAGACUUCACCUUCCAACUUUUUCAAUUAAAUGUCAAGGAAAAAUACUGUACUUAAAACUCUUGAAAGUUUUCCCAAUAUUUAAGAAAAUGGAACUUCAAUUGUUUUUUUAAAUUUUUGCAAUCCCUUUUUGUUUUAAUAUUUUUAUUACCAGUUUCUGUAUAUAUUUAUUUAUUUCAUUUGACUAUUUAGACAAUUUAUAUAUUGAUAGAAGGAGAAAUCUCAGAAGGAUUAUUGAAGACUUAAUUUUAUUCUUUUUAUUAAUGUCAGCAUG